Molecule: transfer RNA, 111 nt
Organism: Trichoderma reesei QM6a
Lineage: Eukaryota; Fungi; Ascomycota; Sordariomycetes; Hypocreales; Hypocreaceae
Rfam family: tRNA
About the family: Transfer RNA (tRNA) molecules are approximately 80 nucleotides in length.
Source: Rfam
GGCACUUUAGCCGAGCGGUCUAAGGCGAAGUGUUCAGGAAUAGCUCGCACUGUGAGCGAUCCCCUCUUCGCGGUCUAGAAAUAGGCGAGGGUUCGAAUCCCUCAGGUGUCA